Molecule: ribosomal RNA, 481 nt
Filed under: uncultured bacterium
Lineage: Bacteria
Description: bacterial SSU rRNA
Rfam family: Bacterial small subunit ribosomal RNA
Source: RNAcentral
UCAGUCGACUCCUACGGGGAGGCAGCAGUGGGGGAAUAUUGCACAAUGGGUGCAAGCCUGAUGCAGCCAUGCCGCGUGUAUGAAGAAGGCCUUCGGGUUGUAAAGUACUUUCAGCAGUGAGGAAGGUGGGGUAUGGUUAAUAGCAUACUCAUUUGACGUUAGCUGCAGAAGAAAGCACCGGCUAACUCCGUGCCAGCAGCCGCGGUAAUACGGAGGGUGCGAGCGUUAAUCGGAAUUACUGGGCGUAAAGCGCAUGCAGGUGGUUUGUUAAGUCAGAUGUGAAAGACCCGGGGCUCAACCUCGGAAUUGCAUUUGAAACUGGCAAACUAGAGUACUGUAGAGGGGGGUAGGAAUUUCAGGUGUAGCGGUGAAAUGCGUAGAGAUCUGAAGGAAUACCGGUGGCGAAGGCGGCCCCCUCGGACAGAUACUGACACUCAGAUGCGAAAGCGUGGGGAGCAAACAGGAUUAGAUACCCUGGUAG